AGUGGCGCACGGGUGCGUAACGCGUGGGAACCUGCCUUUAGGUUCGGAAUAACAGUGAGAAAUUACUGCUAAUACCGGAUAAUGUCUUCGGACCAAAGAUUUAUCGCCUAUAGAUGGGCCCGCGUUGGAUUAGCUAGUUGGUGGGGUAAAGGCCUACCAAGGCGACGAUCCAUAGCUGGUCUGAGAGGAUGAUCAGCCACACUGGGACUGAGACACGGCCCAGACUCCUACGGGAGGCAGCAGUGGGGAAUAUUGGACAAUGGGCGAAAGCCUGAUCCAGCAAUGCCGCGUGAGUGAUGAAGGCCUUAGGGUUGUAAAGCUCUUUUACUGGGGAUGAUAAUGACAGUACCCAGAGAAUAAGCUCCGGCUAACUCCGUGCCAGCAGCCGCGGUAAUACGGAGGGAGCUAGCGUUGUUCGGAAUUACUGGGCGUAAAGCGCACGUAGGCGGCUUUUUAAGUCAGGGGUGAAAUCCCGGGGCUCAACCCCGGAACUGCCCUUGAAACUGGGAAGCU
This 513-nucleotide ribosomal RNA is filed under the name bacterium. Its description in RNAcentral is "bacterial SSU rRNA". It matches the Rfam family "Bacterial small subunit ribosomal RNA", at positions 94 to 642 of the family's 1533-position model. The record is from RNAcentral.